Molecule: small nuclear RNA, 189 nt
Organism: Leptonychotes weddellii (Weddell seal)
Lineage: Eukaryota; Metazoa; Chordata; Mammalia; Carnivora; Phocidae
Product: U2 spliceosomal RNA
Source: RefSeq, a predicted model, not a curated record
AUCAAUUCUCGGCCUUUUGGCUAAGAUCAAGUGUGGUAUCUGUUCUUAUCAGUUUAACAUCUGAUACGUCCUCUAUCCCAGGACAAUGUAUUCCAUUGAUUUUUGGAGUGGGAGCUGGAAUAGGAGCUUGUUUGUGUACUCGAUGCAUCGUUUCCCUGGUCCUUGGGUGUUUAAUGGGGUUGAUAUACU